CCAAUAGCGUAUAUUAAAGUUGUUGUGGUUAAAAAGCUCGUAGUUGAACCUUGGGCCUGGCUGGCCGGUCCGCCUCACCGCGUGUACUGGUCCGGCCGGGCCUUUCCCUCUGUGGAACCCCAUGCCCUUCACUGGGUGUGGCGGGGAAACAGGACUUUUACUGUGAAAAAAUUAGAGUGCUCCAGGCAGGCCUAUGCUCGAAUACAUUAGCAUGGAAUAAUAGAAUAGGACGUGUGGUUCUAUUUUGUUGGUUUCUAGGACCGCCGUAAUGAUUAAUAGGGACAGUCGGGGGCAUCAGUAUUCAAUUGUCAGAGGUGAAAUUCUUGGAUUUAUUGAAGACUAACUACUGCGAAAGCAUUUGCCAAGGAUGUUUUCAUUAAUCAGGAACGAAAGUUAGGGGAUCGAAGACGAUCAGAUACCGUCGUAGUCUUAACCAUAAACUAUGCCGACUAGGGAUCGGACGGUGUUAUUUUUUGACCCGUUCGGCACCUUACGAGAAACAAAGUGUUUGGGUUC
RNAcentral lists this unclassified non-coding RNA (516 nucleotides) under uncultured Glomeromycotina. RNAcentral's name for it is "SSU rRNA". It matches the Rfam family "Eukaryotic small subunit ribosomal RNA", at positions 591 to 1114 of the family's 1831-position model. The record is from RNAcentral. Lineage: Eukaryota; Fungi; Glomeromycota.